GCGGGUAUAGCUCAUGGCAGAGUACAUGCUUAGCAUGCAUAAGAAUCUGGGUUCAAACCCCAGUAUCCCA
Molecule: transfer RNA, 70 nt
Filed under: Urocitellus parryii (Arctic ground squirrel)
Lineage: Eukaryota; Metazoa; Chordata; Mammalia; Rodentia; Sciuridae
Also listed under: 2 other names
Description: Spermophilus parryii (Arctic ground squirrel) tRNA
Rfam family: tRNA
About the family: Transfer RNA (tRNA) molecules are approximately 80 nucleotides in length. Their secondary structure includes four short double-helical elements and three loops (D, anti-codon, and T loops).
Source: Rfam by way of RNAcentral